GGUCCUGUAGUGUAGCGGUUAUCACAUGGGAUUCUGACCCAUAGGUUGAUCACUCUGUUCCCAUGACCCAGGUUCGAUUCCUGGCAGGACCU
Molecule: non-coding RNA, 92 nt
Organism: Dendrothele bispora CBS 962.96
Lineage: Eukaryota; Fungi; Basidiomycota; Agaricomycetes; Agaricales
Source: the annotation of a GenBank genome assembly